UUGCUUCAGCAGCACAUAUACUAAAAUUGGAACAACACAGAGAAGAUUAGCAUGGCCCCUACACAAGGAUAACAUAUAGAUUUGUGAAGCAUUCCAUAAUUUU
RNAcentral lists this small nuclear RNA (103 nucleotides) under Dasypus novemcinctus (nine-banded armadillo). Lineage: Eukaryota; Metazoa; Chordata; Mammalia; Cingulata; Dasypodidae. The record is from RNAcentral.